GCCAGGGUGGCGGAAUUGGUAGACGCAGCGGACUCAAAAUCCGCCGGUAGCAAUACUGUAAGGGUUCGAGUCCCUUCCCUGGUACCA
This 87-nucleotide transfer RNA is filed under the name Pseudodesulfovibrio alkaliphilus. Its description in RNAcentral is "tRNA-Leu". It matches the Rfam family "tRNA". Rfam says of the family: Transfer RNA (tRNA) molecules are approximately 80 nucleotides in length. Their secondary structure includes four short double-helical elements and three loops (D, anti-codon, and T loops). The record is from RNAcentral. Lineage: Bacteria; Pseudomonadati; Thermodesulfobacteriota; Desulfovibrionia; Desulfovibrionales; Desulfovibrionaceae.